GAUGAAGAACGUAGCGAAAUGCGAUAAGUAGUGUGAAUUGCAGAAUUCAGUGAAUCAUCGAGUCUUUGAACGCACAUUGCGCCCCCUGGUAUUCCGGGGGGCAUGCCUGUCCGAGCGUCAUUGCUGCCCUCAAGCACGGCUUGUGUGUUGGGCCUCCGUCCUCCUCCCGGGGGACGGGCCCGAAAGGCAGCGGCGGCACCGCGUCCGGUCCUCGAGCGUAUGGGGCUUCGUCACCCGCUCUUGUAGGCCCGGCCGGCGCUUGCCGACACAUCAAUCUUUUUUCCAGGUUGACCUCGGAUCAGGUAGGGAUACCCGCUGAACUUAAGCAUAUCAAUAAGGGAGGA
Molecule: unclassified non-coding RNA, 344 nt
Filed under: soil metagenome
Description: partial contains 5.8S ribosomal RNA, internal transcribed spacer 2, and large subunit ribosomal RNA
Rfam family: 5.8S ribosomal RNA (bases 1-120)
Source: RNAcentral